ACCGAUCAGUGGCUGAAACGUUGAAUACAUUGCAACAUGUAGGCUGCAUACUACUCAUAUUGUAAUCUUUUUUUGUUAGGGCUACUCUUAUAUAAUAUGUGACUUAUUUUAAUUUGUCAAUCACUUUAGUGAGCUACAUAACCAUUCGAAAAUGUCAUGGGGUCACGGCAUUAGUUUUUGAAGAGCCAUUGACUUGAUGAAUCUGACCUCUACAAGUACUUUCUUUUCAUUUUUUAGUAUUCACUGCCCAUAUAGUAACUCACAAGUAAUUCAGAAAUUAUAAUAAUUAAUUCUUUCUUGUUAAGUUUUAAUAACUACAUUUCCAAUGUGUCUUGAACUGUUUUAUUUGCUUAUCGGCUUUAUAACCUCAUUCUGUUGUAUUUUGUUGAAUUCUUGCCGGCGUCCUACAAACUAUCCACCAGGUCCGAAGUGGCUUCCAUUUGUCGGUAAUACGCCAUUGCUGAAGAAGCUUAGUAGGAAAUUGGGAGGGCAGCACAAUGCACUUUCAUAUUUGGCAGAAAAAUAUAACAGCAAUAUUAUUGGACUCAAACUUGGCAGUCAGCUUUUUGUAGUUGUAAACUCAGAAUCGCUCAUCAAGCAAGUGUUUGCCAGAAAUGAAUUUCAAGCCAGGCCAGACAACUUUUUCAUACGUCUCCGCUCAAUGGGAGAAAGGAAAGGUAUUACAAUGACGGAUGGCCCACUUUGGCAGGAGCAGCGUUUGUUUGCACUGCUUCACCUACGUGAUUUAGGGUUUGGCAAACAAGCCAUGGAAAAGUUGAUACUGGAUGAGUUAGAGAAGAUGCUGUGUAAGCUUGGUUCGGGCGGUGCAGUGGUGUGGAACGCGGUGUUGGCACCAAGCGUGCUGAACGUGCUGUGGACGCUGGCGGCAGGGACGCCAUUCGGCGACGAGCAAGAUGCGACUCUGACGUCACUGCUGCGACUGAUGGAUGAGCGUAGUCGCGCCUUCGACAUGGCCGGCGGAGUGCUGAGUCAGCUGCCUUGGCUCAGGCAUGUCGCGCCCGAGCUCACCGGAUUCACGCUCAUACAGAACCUCAACACUCAGCUGUCGCAACUGCUCAAGGAUACAAUACACAUGCACAAGAAAACACUUCAAGAAGGUGUGGUUAGAGACUUUAUUGAUGUAUUUCUCCAUCAGAUGUCAGUGACUAAUGGUGGACCAACCACAUUCACAGAAGAUCAAUUGAUCAUGGUAUGCUUGGACUUUUUUAUCGCCGGGUCGCAGACAACGAGCAAUACUCUCAAUUUUGCUCUGAUAAAUAUGGUUCUGCAUCCGGAAAUCUGCAAGAAGGCGCAGGAUGAAAUAGACCAUGUGCUUGGUGACAGAAAAAUAUCAGCAAUGGCUGACAAAAACAGGGAACAACAGUAUUGAUUAAUGUCAGAGACGUUCAUCACAACUCUGAGAAAUGGGAAAUUCCGGAAGUAUUUCGUCCUGAAAGAUUUCUGGAUUCUGAUGGCAAGUUCUGUCCCCAAGAAUUGUACCUGUUCAGUUGUGGGAAGAGGCGAUGUCUUGGAGAACCUCUUGCCAAAAACUUUGUAUUUUUAUUUUUCGUUAGUAUUCUUAAAAAUUACACAAUGAGUCCUUCUCCUGGAGAGCCAACACCUACGUUAGAUCCAACUCCGGGAAUAACACUUUCUCCGAAAGCCAACUGUAUUCUUCUAAAUCCACGUUAGUUUAUUUAAUUGCAAAUACUGCAAAUUUCAUUAGUGACGAGACAAUUUUCGUCUAGUUUCAAAGUUUUUACAUUUUACUUCUGUAUUUAUAGUAUAUACUUUGGAAAAACUGAUAGAUUUGUUGUUACGUAGUGAAUUUAUGUUAUGCAUAGCCUACAGUAGAAUUUAUUUUUGUGCUAAUUAUUAUGUUCUCAAUAAGUCUUUGGCUAAUUAGGGUGGCUACUAAUGACAAGACUGUGCUGUACAUGUGUGUAUAGUGACGUCCACGUUAUAGUGGAGAAAGAUAGAACAGCGUUGCCGAUUCUCUGCCUUGCCACUGCCUUCUAUAGUAUAUAGCUGAUACCAGUACGUAUAUGUAAUGUAAUAUUAACAGUUCAUUCUUGUUGAAAAUUAUAAAUUUUAUUUUAUUCGUCAAGAAAAUAUAUUUUCUAUAUAUUCAAUAAUAAAUUUCAUAAUUUAGAUUUUCAUAUUUUGUUAAUCUAUAAUAUUAUAAAGGAAGGAAUAGGCUUAUACAUGAUAUACAUAUGAAAUAGGGAUAUGAAAUACAUAUAUGACGCAUCAUCACGUCUGAACCACUCAAUUGAUCAACUUGGAAUUUUUUAUUAAGAUUCUUGUUUCACCGAGGAUGGCUAUAGGCCUAUUUCCAGUUCGUCAAGUUUUCAGUUCAUCAAGUUUUCAAUUCGUCAAGUUUCCAGUUUGUUAUACUUUGAGAAAGGUCAUAGAUUGAAUUGUGUAUUCAAAGGUUUAUAAUAUUCUAUCCAUAUCUUCUCCUUUCUCUAUGAAUAAUUUAUAAAGGAACUAUUUAUAAAAGAAGAAAUUUGCUUAUACAUGUAUGGGAUACGAAAUGCAUGUUUGAUGCAUCAUGGCGUCAGAGCUACUGAACUGAUUAACUUGAAAUUUGGCAUAAAGAUUUAUAAUUUACCGAGGAUGGUUAUAUAGAACUAUUUUUGUUUUUGUUCAUUAAUUAUAAUUUCAAUAAUUGAAACAAAUUUAUUAAGUUUAAGUGAGAUGUAAGCCCAAUAAAAUAGUUUUUAUUGUAACUUAUUACUUCCAAUAUCAGGAUGGAACUGAAGCUGAAUUCAAUCUAUUUGUGCUUUAAACAAACCCUUGCGGGCGGAGCACGGCUUACCUGCUAGUUAAUUAUAUUUUUACAUUGUUGAAAAACGAUCUAUCAAAGUUGAAGAGGUAGAAAAGGAUAGUGUUAUCUGCUUUGUCGAAUGAGAGACAAGGAUAGCAACACCAAUGAUAAUCAAAUCCUGUUAUUAUAACGUAAACCUCACUAUACACACAUGCUCGUCAUGCAUGUUGUGCCAUCAGCGGGAGGCUUCGAACAAAAAACAGCUGUUCGACAGCAGCUUCUAACAUAAAAAAAACCAAUAACAAUAAAUAAACCACUGGAUAAUGAUAAAAAAUAAUUUAAUCUCAAAUAAAGCAGCGAAGAAAAACUAAACAACAAAAAUCGAAGAUACAAAAACCUUACCUCAAAAAAUGUUAUCGAAACCUUUCACUGUGAUGACACGACAAUGUAUGGCACAUGUUCAUCACACUUGUCCUGUCGUUAUUGGCCAUCCUUAGAAAUUACGUUAUGAAUGGCACAAAUAGUUUUAGAAUGCUGUACAAGUAAGGGGAAAUUAUUCGCUGCCAAUAUUCAAUUCUAUUUCUGUUCACUGCUAAAGAUGAGUGAAAAUAGUUUUUUCAUGUUAUUCUCAUGUGAUCUAAAGUUUUGUGAAUACUUUUUUUAACUAGUUAGGCCUAACAAUGAAUUAUUUACCGUACAGUAUCAUUUUUGUGAGUCACAAAAUAGUUACCGUAAUAAUAAGUAUUGUAGUUUUAUACUAUUUGUGUGGUAGGCUCUCUACAUUUUCUCGCAAUAAAUCACAAAACUGUGAUUUGUCGAUAUCUAGUUCCUUAUUCUGGUAGAAUGGUGGUACUAGAUUAGUAGAGGUAUCAUGGUGCUAAAUCAGUUUAUAAAAAAUCCCAAGUUAUUAGAAAUUGUUGUAGCUUCCACACAAAUAACGUGCAUAAAUUUCUCAUGUGUUGAUAGAAUAUAAUUAUUAAACAUUGGUUUAUUUAUUCAUGAGUUAUCAAAUAGUCGUCAUAAAUUUAUUCUUAAUAUAUUAUGAUGAGUCUUACAACUCAACUUUGUAAAAGUUUAUGAAAUAAAUAUUAUUAAACCUCUCUUAAAUUAAUA
RNAcentral lists this unclassified non-coding RNA (3883 nucleotides) under Nilaparvata lugens (brown planthopper). RNAcentral's name for it is "probable cytochrome P450 305a1, transcript variant X3". The record is from RNAcentral. Lineage: Eukaryota; Metazoa; Arthropoda; Insecta; Hemiptera; Delphacidae.